AGAGAGAGACAUGCGUGCAUAUCAAUAAGCGGAGGAAAAGAAACUAACAAGGAUUCCCCUAGUAACGGCGAGUGAAGCGGGAAGAGCUCAAAUUUGAAAUCUUAAAGGGUUUCCCUUUACGAAUUGUAGUUUAAAGAAGUGUUUUCUGUUGAGGUUUUGGUAAAAGUUCUUUGGAAUAGGACAUCAUAGAGGGUGAGAAUCCCGUAUUUGACCCUUACUUUCAACUUUGUGAUACACUUUCAAAGAGUCGGAUUGUUUGGGAAUGCAGUCCAAAAUGGGUGGUAAAUUUCAUCUAAAGCUAAAUAUUGGCGAGAGACCGAUAGCGAACAAGUACCGUGAGGGAACGAUGAAAAGAACUUUGAAAAGAGAGUUAAACAGUACGUGAAAUUGUCAAAAGGGAAGCGUUUGACACCAGUGUUGUUUUUCUGAAAAUCAAUUAAAGAACUGUUUAUGCUAAGCUGUUUAGACUUUAUCAGCUAUCUGUUUAGUUUUGAGCUUUUCUUUAAUGCACUUUUCAGUUAACAAGUCAACAUCAAUUUCUUUUGCUGUAAAAAAGCUUGAGGAAGGUGGCUUGAGAUUCGUCUUAAGUGUUUAUAGCCUCUUGCCUAUGCAGUCGGAGAGAUUGAGGUCUGCAGCGUAGAUCCUUCGGGGCUAAAUGCAUUUGUGCUAAGUUAUAGCAUUUUAUAGACAACUUGUUGACUAUGAUUUGUCUUGUAGCUUACUCGCUUAUGUUAUUUUACCUACGCUUAGGAUGUUGACGCAUGAGAUAUACGC
Molecule: ribosomal RNA, 774 nt
Filed under: uncultured Neocallimastigales
Lineage: Eukaryota; Fungi; Neocallimastigomycota; Neocallimastigomycetes; Neocallimastigales
Description: partial large subunit ribosomal RNA
Rfam family: Eukaryotic large subunit ribosomal RNA
Source: RNAcentral